Non-coding RNA from Podarcis lilfordi (Lilford's wall lizard), 75 nucleotides. NCBI's taxonomy places the organism in Eukaryota, Metazoa, Chordata, Lepidosauria, Squamata, Lacertidae. The record is from the annotation of a GenBank genome assembly.
ACUCAGGGAUAGCUCAAUCGGUAAAGCAUGAGACUCUUAAUCUAAGGGUUGUGAGUUUGAGCCCGAUGCUGGGCA